This 72-nucleotide transfer RNA is filed under the name Camelus bactrianus (Bactrian camel). It matches the Rfam family "tRNA". From Rfam's summary of the family: Transfer RNA (tRNA) molecules are approximately 80 nucleotides in length. Their secondary structure includes four short double-helical elements and three loops (D, anti-codon, and T loops). RNAcentral also lists the same sequence under 2 other names. Lineage: Eukaryota; Metazoa; Chordata; Mammalia; Artiodactyla; Camelidae. The record is from Rfam by way of RNAcentral.
GAAGGUACAGCUCAGAGGUAAAGCACAUGCUUAGUGUGCACAAGGUCCUGGGCUCAAUCCCCAGUACCUCCA